Acipenser ruthenus (sterlet) is the source of this 475-nucleotide long non-coding RNA. RefSeq lists it as uncharacterized. The record is from RefSeq and is a predicted model, not a curated record. NCBI's taxonomy places the organism in Eukaryota, Metazoa, Chordata, Actinopteri, Acipenseriformes, Acipenseridae. The transcript has 3 exons.
GGGGGACUCAUUCUGGUCGGGCUCCAACAUAGCCAGAGCCGACGGAGUCAGGACCUGGUGCCUCCCUUUACCUGGAUGACACCCUGAUAGAGUGGUUCCUGAGGCAGUUGGAGCAUGACUCAGAGCGGGACGAGGAGGAGGAAAAGAGGAACCCAGAACUCACGUUGGAGGCGCUCACCCAUGUGGCAAAAACCAUGAACACCAGGAAGACGCCAGGUCCAGAUGACAUCCCAGGUGAGUAUUACCAUCCUUUUUGGGACAUGCUAAAAGUCCAUCUAGAGGAGGUCUACAGAGCGGUCUACAGAGAGAAGCGGUUGGGCCCUUCUAUGAGGGAGAGUGUAAUCACUCUCCUUCAUAAGAAAGUGGAAGUUAAAGAGCUAAAAAAUUGGUGCCCAAUCAGCCUCCUGUGCGUGGAUUAUAAGAUACUUGCCAAAGCUGUAAUGCUCCGGCUACAAGUACACCUCCCUUUGGUUAU